RNAcentral lists this ribosomal RNA (464 nucleotides) under Enoploctenus sp. RNAcentral describes it as "partial large subunit ribosomal RNA". Lineage: Eukaryota; Metazoa; Arthropoda; Arachnida; Araneae; Ctenidae. The record is from RNAcentral.
CGCCUGUUUAUCAAAAACAUUUUUAUUAAAUAUUGUUAAUAAUAAAAUCUGCUCAAUGAAAAUUAAAUAGCCGCAAUCGUGCUAAGGUAGUAUAAUAAUUUGUCUUUUAAUUGAAGACCAAACAAAAGAUUUAACUUUUAAGUCUAUUUCCUUAAAUAAUUACUUAAAUUAUUUUAAUUGUAAAAAAACAAUUAUAAAAAAAGAAGACGAUAAGACCCUAUCGAACUUAACUUAAGUUAAACUGGGGUAGUUAAUAAAUUAUUAUUUUUAUUUAAUUUAAUAAUUAAAUGUUCUAAUAUAAUUAAUUUCAUAAUCAAGUUACCGUAGGGAUAACAGCAUAAUAAAAUUUUCAAGAACUUAUUUAAAAUAAAGUUUAUGACCUCGAUGUUGAAUUAAUAUACUAAUCUACGCAAUAGUUGAUCAAGUAAGUCUGUUCGACUUUUAAAUAAUUACAUGAUCUGAGU